GCCUUCUUAGCUCAGUGGUAGAGCGUUGGUCUCGUAUUCAGUUGAAAGUCAACCAAAGGCCGAGAGUUCAAUCCUCUCAGAAGGCA
RNAcentral lists this transfer RNA (86 nucleotides) under Daphnia magna. It matches the Rfam family "tRNA". From Rfam's summary of the family: Transfer RNA (tRNA) molecules are approximately 80 nucleotides in length. The record is from Rfam by way of RNAcentral. Lineage: Eukaryota; Metazoa; Arthropoda; Branchiopoda; Diplostraca; Daphniidae.